GAUGAUAAAUGUUUCCAACAUUUUUCUCUUUUUCCUUUUCAAUUUUUUCUAUUUAUUUUCUGUUUGUUAUAAUACAUAUUAUGGUCGACUUCAAAAUACUCACGAGAUUCUUGGAGAAAAUUCAAGAUAUAUUGUAUUUUAAUUUGUGUUGCUUUUGUUUUAUUUCAAGAUGAUUUGAUGGAAUUGCAGUUUUAAUUUGUGCUGCUUUUGUUUUAUUUCAAGAUGAUUUGAUGGAAUUUUCAAGAUGAUUUGUUUUAUUAUUUCUAUUUUUAGUAAGCAAUUUACUAUAUAUUUAUAAUAGUGACGCAACAAACAAAAUAAGUUUCCCCAUUCAUAAUUUAUAUUACUGCAUAUAAGUUAUCUUAGAGUAGCCGUUGUUUAGAUGCUGUUGAAUCAUCUCUCUUUGUAGCACAAGGCAGUUGGUUUCCCUUUUGAGGAAUAUACGAGUAUAGUAUUGAUUUGGCUGUGAAUUGUGAUAUGCAUCGAUAAUGGAUUGAGGACUUGAGUAUUUUGACAAAAAUAUAAUUGAUGAUGUUAAUCCACAACUGUGAUUUGUGAAGCCCAUAUAAUGUAAAUUUUAUUGCUUUUGUGGUCCUUCUUUAUUAUUGUGCAUCUCCAUUCUGCUAAUUAAAUUUAGCAUGGGGUAGGUUAACUUUGCCCUUCGUUAUUAAUGGCUCCCUCUUGAGCCUUUACCAGAAGUAUAACCUUCAAGAUUCACAGGUCUCUGCUUAUACCAGACAGAUUUUACAUGGUUUAAAAUAUUUGCAUGACAGAGAUGUGGUCCACAGAGAUAUCAAAUGUGCAAAUAUAUUGGUGGAUGCAAGUGGAUCUGUCAAACUUGCAGAUUUUGGCCUUGCAAGGGUUCAAUUUGCUCCUUUUUUUCCCCUCCUCUGGUUACAGUGCCUUUUUAUCUUCCACAGUUUUGGAAAUAGUUUACUACAAUUACUAUUGUGAUUAUUUCUAAUAAGCUAUUAUUGUUCAGGCUACCAAGCUAAAUGACGUGAAAUCAUGAAAGGGAACUGCAUUCUGGAUGGCUCCCGAGGUUUGUCUUGACUCUUUCUCCAGACUUAAGUAGCACAACAAGUUAAAUAAAAGGUUUCUGAUUUGUAUGUAUGGUCCGGUUAUAUUUUUGUUUGAGGACAGACAAAUGUUUAAGUUUGGGGGUAUUUGAUAAGUACAUUUUAUAUACUUAUUCGGUACUUAAAAUAAUGAUAUUUGAUAGUUCUUUUGACAUAAUAUAUUCUAAAUUGUUGUGUUUUACGUUUAAUAGGUAAAACUCCACAAAUAAAAAGGAAUUGAAGGAAAGAAGCAUAAAAUGGGUGAAAAUGGUAAAAUCUAAAGUGCAUGGAUUAAUUUGGCCGAUGGAUGAAAGUUGGAGAUUAAAUUUCAUAAUUUAGAAAGACUAACGACUUGCAGGAUAAUAUGGAUUAAUUGCUUUGAAUUGGAGUCCUUUGGAAAGUCAAACUUGGCUGCUAGGUUAAAUAUAUAUACAAAAGACGCACAGAAAUAUGGGGCUGCUGUUAUUAAUGUAUAUUCACGCAACUUGAGGGCAACCGGGGGAGAAAUGGGGUAAAUUUGUUCAUCAAAUUGGUCGACUGAUUGCACCUAUAUAUAUACACGCUUAUCGAGAAAAUAAGGGCAGCUUUGGUUGACAGGGAUCAUAUAGAUAAUUUUGGUUGUGUAGUUAGAAUUAUGAAUUAUCUCUUUCACACAUGCAAUCAUAUAAAUAACUUGAACUAAAUGCGUGAUUUUUAUAUGAAUUCAGACUAAGAAUAGAAUCAGGUCGUGUUAAUCAUAGGUUCGUGUGCCUUGAAAAAGAGCAUUGAAUAAUUUAGCGUUAUCGAUUGUCAAAAACACAUAAAUGAAACUAGAUUACGAUUCAAGAAUUGAAAUAGAUAGCAAUAGGUGGAGUCGAAAUCCAAUACAAUCCUCCGUAAUUUAAUAAAACCCGAACUUUUACAGCUUUCUUAGAUUAGUUUGGUAUAAAUUAAAUCCAAAUAUUUCGUUUGUUUUCAUAAUUCAAAUCUAUACGAAAUUAUUAAAUUUAAAUUAAAUUUAUUCUCUGUGGGACGAUAACUCUUAACUCAUAAAUUUUAUUACUUGUUAACGAUUCUGUACGCUUGAGGGUAUUACACGAACAGAGCCUUCAAACUUCAAUGAAGCAACAAAUUCACAGGUUCGGAUGGUUGCAAUGAAAGAGGAGCUAAGUAUGAUAGAAAAGAAUGAAACCUGGCUGUUGGUUGAUAGACCAAAGGAUAAAAAUGUGAUUGGAGUUAAAUGAGUGUUUAAAACUAAGCUAAACUCUAAUUGUUCAGUCAACAAACUCAAAGCCAGGUUAGUUGUGAAAGGAUAUGCUUAGCAAUAUGACAUUGAUUUUACAGAUACAUUUGCUCCUGUGGCAAGUAUGAAACAAUUAGAUUGUUGUUUGCCAUUGCUGCUCAAAGAGGCUUGAGAAUAUAUCAAUUGGAACAGCCUUCUUAAACAGAUAUUUAAAUGAAGAGAUUUUCAUUGAACAAUCAGAUGGUUUCCUAGUAAUUGGAGGAGGAUAAAGUUUAUUUGUUGAGGAAGACCUUGUAUGGAUUGAAGUAGGCUCCAAGAGCCUGGUACAGUAGAAUUGAUGAAUACUUAGGCUGCCUUGGCUUCAUCAAAAGUGUUAAUGAGCAAACACUUUAUAUAAAGCAAGUGGAGGAAGAAUUGAUUAUCAUUUCCUUGUAUGUUGAUGACCUAAUAAUAGGCAGCAAUCAAGCUUUAAUUGACAGAGCGAAAGGUGAAAUGAAGAUGGCAUUUGAUAGGACAGAUUUGGGGAAAAUGCUGUAUUUUCUUCGUAUGGAAAUAAAUCAAACACAAGAUGGAAUUUUUGUCUAUCAAAGGAGAUAUGGUAAGAAAAUUUUGAAGAAAUUCAGCAUGGAGAAUUGUAAACUAGUGAGUACUUCCUUGGUACAAAAUUUAAUGCUGAUAAAGGAAUAUGGAAGCAAGAAAUCUAAUGAAAAGGUUUAUAGAAGUUUGGUGGGAAGCUUAUUGUAUUUAACAAUCAUUAGACCAGACAUUACAUUUGCUGCAAAUAUGCUUUCCUAAUUUAGACAAGAGCCAAGUGAAUUACACUUCCAAGUUGCACAGAGAGUCUUAAGAUACACCAAAGGGAAUGGAGAGAUGGGAAUCUGGUUUAGGAGGCCAUAAACUUUGGAUUUAAUUGGCUAUACUGACAAUGAUUGGACUGGAUCCUUUGAUGAUAUGAAAAACACUUUUGGAUAUGUAUUUUAUAUGGGAUCAAGUGUUAUUUGUUGGAACUCAAUGAAAAAUCUUAACCACAAACCAGCUGAUGCAACCGUUAUUUACUGUGAUAAUCAAUUAGCUGUUGCAAUGGUUAAGAAUCCAGUGUUUCAUGGAAGAACAAAGCACAUCAAGAUCAAGUAUCAUGCAAUCAGGCAAGCACAAGAAAAUCAUGAAGCUAGUGCACUGCAAUGUUGAAGAUCAAUAUGAUGACAUUUUAAUUAAAUCCUUAUCAAAAGGAAGGUUUGAAACAUAGAGAAAAUGCCUUGGUGUUUUCAGCAAAAGUGUCGAGGAGUAUUGACAUUGGUUGUCACUUUUGCUGUACCAAAGUCUGGUAUUUUUGUGUAUUUAAAUCAAGUCUAUGUAAUUGUAUUUUUAGUGAUUAAAAUAUCUAUAAUGAUAUGGUCUUGCAUUGUUAUAGAAAUGCCGUCAACAAAUAAGGUUGUAGUAGGUAGGAGUUGUUGACUAAAAGCAUGGUUGAAAUCUUUUGUAUUACAUAUAUAUGCUCCAACCGUGUAGUAUGUAUAAUCUUCAAGUUUUUCAUCUUUUUCUUA
This is a long non-coding RNA of Olea europaea var. sylvestris, 3824 nucleotides long. RefSeq lists it as uncharacterized. NCBI's taxonomy places the organism in Eukaryota, Viridiplantae, Streptophyta, Magnoliopsida, Lamiales, Oleaceae. The transcript is spliced from 2 exons. The record is from RefSeq and is a predicted model, not a curated record.